Molecule: ribosomal RNA, 866 nt
Filed under: Pseudophialocephala terricola
Lineage: Eukaryota; Fungi; Ascomycota; Sordariomycetes; Chaetosphaeriales; Chaetosphaeriaceae
Description: eukaryotic LSU rRNA
Rfam family: Eukaryotic large subunit ribosomal RNA
Source: RNAcentral
UACGGGGGUAAGACAAACAGGGAUGCCUCAGUAACGGCGAGUGAAGCGGCAACAGCUCAAAUUUGAAAUCUGGCCCCCCGGCCCGAGUUGUAAUUUGCAGAGGAUGCUUCGGGCGCGGUGCCUUCCAAGUCCCCUGGAACGGGGCGCCGGAGAGGGUGAGAGCCCCGUACGGUUGGCGGCCAAGCCUGUGUGAAGCUCCUUCGACGAGUCGAGUAGUUUGGGAAUGCUGCUCUAAGCGGGAGGUAGACCCCUUCUAAAGCUAAAUAUAGGCCAGAGACCGAUAGCGCACAAGUAGAGUGAUCGAAAGAUGAAAAGCACUUUGAAAAGAGGGUUAAACAGCACGUGAAAUUGUUGAAAGGGAAGCGCUUGCGACCAGACGUGCGCCGGGGUGCUCAGCGGGCGUUCUCGCCCGUGCACUCGCCCCGGUGCAGGCCAGCGUCGGUUCGCGUGGGAGGAUAAAGGCGCCUGGAAUGUGGCUCCCCCGGGAGUGUUAUAGCCAGGCGUGCCAUGCUCCCCUGCGGACCGAGGUACGCGUUCUGCAAGGACGCUGGCGUAAUGGUCCCCAGCGACCCGUCUUGAAACACGGACCAAGGAGUCGAGGUUUUGCGCGAGUGUUUGGGUGUUAAACCCGCACGCGUAAUGAAAGUGAACGUAGGUGGGAGCUUCGGCGCACCACCGACCGAUCCUGAUGUUCUCGGAUGGAUUUGAGUAAGAGCGUAGGGCCUCGGACCCGAAAGAUGGUGAACUAUGCUUGGAUAGGGUGAAGCCAGAGGAAACUCUGGUGGAGGCUCGCAGCGGUUCUGACGUGCAAAUCGAUCGUCAAAUCUGAGCAUGGGGGCGAAAGACUAAUCGACCAUCCUAUGUUG